AUGCAAGUCGAGCGCCCCGCAAGGGGAGCGGCAGACGGGUGAGUAACGCGUGGGAAUCUACCCAUCCCUACGGAACAACUCCGGGAAACUGGAGCUAAUACCGUAUACGCCCUUCGGGGGAAAGAUUUAUCGGGGAUGGAUGAGCCCGCGUUGGAUUAGCUAGUUGGUGGGGUAAAGGCCUACCAAGGCGACGAUCCAUAGCUGGUCUGAGAGGAUGAUCANCCACAUUGGGACUGAGACACGGCCCAAACUCCUACGGGAGGCAGCAGUGGGGAAUAUUGGACAAUGGGCGCAAGCCUGAUCCAGCCAUGCCGCGUGAGUGAUGAAGGCCUUAGGGUUGUAAAGCUCUUUCACCGGAGAAGAUAAUGACGGUAUCCGGAGAAGAAGCCCCGGCUAACUUCGUGCCAGCAGCCGCGGUAAUACGAAGGGGGCUAGCGUUGUUCGGAAUUACUGGGCGUAAAGCGCACGUAGGCGGAUAUUUAAGUCAGGGGUGAAAUCCCAGAGCUCAACUCUGGAACUGCCUUUGAUACUGGGUAUCUUGAGUAUGGAAGAGGUAAGUGGAAUUGCNAGUGUAGAGGUGAAAUUCGUAGAUAUUCGCA
Molecule: ribosomal RNA, 599 nt
Filed under: Rhizobium sp. RB5
Lineage: Bacteria; Pseudomonadati; Pseudomonadota; Alphaproteobacteria; Hyphomicrobiales; Rhizobiaceae
Description: bacterial SSU rRNA
Rfam family: Bacterial small subunit ribosomal RNA
Source: RNAcentral